Molecule: ribosomal RNA, 484 nt
Filed under: uncultured bacterium
Lineage: Bacteria
Description: partial 16S ribosomal RNA
Rfam family: Bacterial small subunit ribosomal RNA
Source: RNAcentral
AUUGAACGCUGGCGGCAGGCCUAACACAUGCAAGUCGAGCGGAUGAAGUGAGCUUGCUCCUGGAUUCAGCGGCGGACGGGUGAGUAAUGCCCAGGAAUCUGCCUGGUAGUGGGGGAUAACGUCCGGAAACGGGCGCUAAUACCGCAUACGUCCUGAGGGAGAAAGUGGGGGAUCUUCGGACCUCACGCUAUCAGAUGAGCCUAGGUCGGAUUAGCUAGUUGGUGGGGUAAAGGCCUACCAAGGCGACGAUCCGUAACUGGUCUGAGAGGAUGAUCAGUCACACUGGAACUGAGACACGGUCCAGACUCCUACGGGAGGCAGCAGUGGGGAAUAUUGGACAAUGGGCGAAAGCCUGAUCCAGCCAUGCCGCGUGUGUGAAGAAGGUCUUCGGAUUGUAAAGCACUUUAAGUUGGGAGGAAGGGCAGUAAGUUAAUACCUUGCUGUUUUGACGUUACCAACAGAAUAAGCACCGGCUAACUUCGUG